This 246-nucleotide ribosomal RNA is filed under the name Escherichia coli. RNAcentral's name for it is "partial 23S ribosomal RNA". It matches the Rfam family "Bacterial large subunit ribosomal RNA", at positions 1134 to 1378 of the family's 2925-position model. The record is from RNAcentral. Lineage: Bacteria; Pseudomonadati; Pseudomonadota; Gammaproteobacteria; Enterobacterales; Enterobacteriaceae.
GUAAUAGCUCACUGGUCGAGUCGGCCUGCGCGGAAGAUGUAACGGGGCUAAACCAUGCACCGAAGCUGCGGCAGCGACGCUUAUGCGUUGUUGGGUAGGGGAGCGUUCUGUAAGCCUGUGAAGGUGUGCUGUGAGGCAUGCUGGAGGUAUCAGAAGUGCGAAUGCUGACAUAAGUAACGAUAAAGCGGGUGAAAAGCCCGCUCGCCGGAAGACCAAGGGUUCCUGUCCAACGUUAAUCGGGGCAGG